AUACGGAAGGCAGCAGUAAGGAAUAUUGCACAAUGGGCGAAAGCCUGAUGCAGCAACGCCGCGUGCAGGAUGAAGGCCUUCGGGUCGUAAACUGCUUUGGACCCUGACGAGCAAGGACGGUAGGGGUCGAACAAGUCACGGCUAACUACGUGCCAGCAGCCGCGGUAAAACGUAGGUGACAAGCGUUAUCCGGAUUUACUGGGCGUAAAGGGUGUGCAGGCGGGGGGAUAAGUGGUGUAUGAAAGUGCCCGGCUUAACCGGGCGAGGCUAUGCCAGACUGUCCUUCUUGAGCGCGAGAGAGGAGCGUGGAAUUCCGGGUGUAGUGGUGAAAUGCGUAGAGAUCCGGAGGAACCCCAGAGGCGAAGGCGGCGCUCUGGCUCGCGACUGACGCUCAGACACGACAGCAUGGGGAGCGAACGGGAUUAGAUACCCCGGU
RNAcentral lists this ribosomal RNA (436 nucleotides) under uncultured bacterium. RNAcentral's name for it is "bacterial SSU rRNA". It matches the Rfam family "Bacterial small subunit ribosomal RNA", at positions 339 to 791 of the family's 1533-position model. The record is from RNAcentral.